AGCGAACGCUGGCGGCAGGCCUAACACAUGCAAGUCGAACGGAUCCUUCGGGAUUAGUGGCGGACGGGUGGGUAACACGUGGGAACGUGCCCUUUGGUUCGGAACAACUCAGGGAAACUUGAGCUAAUACCGGAUGUGCCCUUCGGGGGAAAGAUUUAUCGCCAUUGGAUCGGCCCGCGUCUGAUUAGCUAGUUGGUGAGGUAACGGCCCACCAAGGCGACGAUCAGUAGCUGGUCUGAGAGGAUGAUCAGCCACAAUGGGACUGAGACACGGCCCAGACUGCGACGGGAGGGAGCAGUGGGGAGUCUUGCGGAAUGGGCGAAAGCCUGACGCAGCCAUGCCGCGUGAAUGAUGAAGGUCUUAGGAUUGUAAAAUUCUUUGAGAGGGGACGAUAAUGACGGUACCCGCAGAAGAAGCUCCGGCUAACUUCGUG
Molecule: ribosomal RNA, 433 nt
Filed under: uncultured bacterium
Lineage: Bacteria
Description: partial 16S ribosomal RNA
Rfam family: Bacterial small subunit ribosomal RNA
Source: RNAcentral